This 85-nucleotide transfer RNA is filed under the name Acetobacteraceae bacterium. RNAcentral describes it as "tRNA-Leu". It matches the Rfam family "tRNA". Rfam says of the family: Transfer RNA (tRNA) molecules are approximately 80 nucleotides in length. Their secondary structure includes four short double-helical elements and three loops (D, anti-codon, and T loops). Further hydrogen bonds mediate the characteristic L-shaped molecular structure. tRNAs have two regions of fundamental functional importance: the anti-codon, which is responsible for specific mRNA codon recognition, and the 3' end, to which the tRNAs corresponding amino acid is attached (by aminoacyl-tRNA synthetases). tRNAs cope with the degeneracy of the genetic code in two manners: having more than one tRNA (with a specific anti-codon) for a particular amino acid; and 'wobble' base-pairing, i.e. permitting non-standard base-pairing at the 3rd anti-codon position. The record is from RNAcentral. Lineage: Bacteria; Pseudomonadati; Pseudomonadota; Alphaproteobacteria; Acetobacterales; Acetobacteraceae. RNAcentral also lists the same sequence under 7 other names.
GCGCCCGUGGCGGAAUUGGCAGACGCGCACGGUUCAGGUCCGUGUUCCGAAAGGAGUGGUGGUUCGACUCCACUCGGGCGCACCA